UCUUGGUUAGCUUAGUUGGCAGAGCACUCUACUGGAAAUAGAGAGUCCUUAGAUCGAUACCAAGACCAGGCG
This 72-nucleotide transfer RNA is filed under the name Ixodes scapularis (black-legged tick). RNAcentral's name for it is "tRNA-Ser for anticodon GGA". It matches the Rfam family "tRNA". From Rfam's summary of the family: Transfer RNA (tRNA) molecules are approximately 80 nucleotides in length. Their secondary structure includes four short double-helical elements and three loops (D, anti-codon, and T loops). Lineage: Eukaryota; Metazoa; Arthropoda; Arachnida; Ixodida; Ixodidae. The record is from RNAcentral.